GAUGAACGCUAGCGAUAGGCUUAACACAUGCAAGUCGAUGGGGAAGUGGUGCUUGCACCAUGGUAACCAUGGCGGACGGGUGAGUAACGCGUAAGGAACUUACCUGCGGGACCGGGAUAACAGCAGGAAACUGCUGACAAGACCGGAUAAGGUCAUUAAGCUGCAUAGCUUAGUGAUGAAAGGAGACGCCUGCGGAGAGCCUUGCGUCCUAUUAGCUAGUUGGAGGGGUAACGGCCCACCAAGGCGAAGAUAGGUAGCCGGCCUGAGAGGGUGGACGGCCACAAGGGGACUGAGAUACGGCCCUUACUCCUACGGGAGGCAGCAGUGGGGAAUAUUGGACAAUGGGGGCAACCCUGAUCCAGCAAUUCUGUGUGCACGAAGACGGUUUUCGGAUUGUAAAGUGCUUUCAGCAGGGAAGAAGGAAGUGACGGUACCUGCAGAAGAAGCGACGGCUAAAUACGUGCCAGCAGCCGCGGUAAUACGUAUGUCGCGAGCGUUAUCCGGAAUUAUUGGGCAUAAAGGGCAUCUAGGCGGCCUUUCAAGUCAGGGGUGAAAACCUGCGGCUCAACCGCAGGCCUGCCUUUGAAACUGAUAGGCUGGAGUACCGGAGAGGUGGACGGAACUGCACGAGUAGAGGUGAAAUUCGUAGAUAUGUGCAGGAAUGCCGAUGAUGAAGAUAGUUCACUGGACGGUAACUGACGCUGAAGUGCGAAAGCCGGGGGAGCAAACAGG
RNAcentral lists this ribosomal RNA (732 nucleotides) under uncultured Leptotrichia sp. RNAcentral's name for it is "bacterial SSU rRNA". It matches the Rfam family "Bacterial small subunit ribosomal RNA", at positions 28 to 776 of the family's 1533-position model. Lineage: Bacteria; Fusobacteriati; Fusobacteriota; Fusobacteriia; Fusobacteriales; Leptotrichiaceae. The record is from RNAcentral.